GACGAACCGUGCGAACGUUAUUCGGAAUUACUGGGCUUAAAGCGCGUGUAGGCGGGUCGGCACGUCGGUCGCUGAAAUCCCCCGGCUCAACCGGGGAACGGGCGCCGAUACGACCGCCCUGGAGGGACGUAGGGGGACCUGGAACUUCCGGUGGAGCGGUGAAAUGCGUUGAGAUCGGAAGGAACGCCCGUGGCGAAAGCGAGGUCCUGGACGUCUUCUGACGCUGAGACGCGAAAGCCAGGGGAGCGAACGGG
This 254-nucleotide ribosomal RNA is filed under the name uncultured bacterium. Its description in RNAcentral is "partial 16S ribosomal RNA". It matches the Rfam family "Bacterial small subunit ribosomal RNA", at positions 524 to 776 of the family's 1533-position model. The record is from RNAcentral.